RNAcentral lists this long non-coding RNA (2188 nucleotides) under Homo sapiens (human). RNAcentral's name for it is "non-protein coding lnc-MAPK1-3:1". The record is from RNAcentral. Lineage: Eukaryota; Metazoa; Chordata; Mammalia; Primates; Hominidae.
AUUUUUGCAUAUGAAAGAGGCCAGAACCCACAGGAAAAACUUCAAAACUUGACAUUUGCCAGAAUGUUUAAAAUUUGUUCAGAAAAGGUUAAAGCAACAAGUUUAGCCUUUGUGCAUGAAGACGCCUGGCCUGCUAGACGCGUUGCCCGUCCCUGCGUGGUGCUGUCCCAUGUCACUUGAACUGAUAGAGGGGCCUGUGCAAUCUCCUAAGGCCUGUGUUUCUGCCAUAUAUUUUAUUAUAAAUUACAAUCCACUCAUCCACCUGCCCUCCACCAGGAGUGGGCACCCCAUAAGGGUUUAGGCCACUUUGCAGAGGAUGGAGGUCAAAAACCACUCCCAGAUAAGUUUGGUUUUCAACAUUUAGUAACUUGUCUCAGGGCAGAGGGCAGGCAGGGGGACCGAGGGGCAGCAGAUAGGAGAGCACUGAGCCCGGAUAGUUCUCAGCCUGGCAAGUGGCUCUGAAGCUGCCUUCAGACAAGGCUAGUCUAGGGGCAAGAGUGCGAGCUGGCUGACAAUAAGAACGUGGCCACCUGCCCAGCUUCACACCUCCCCCGACUUCAGCCCUUCCUAAACCCAGACCUGCGGUCCAGGCAGGCACUGGGCUGUGCCCACUCGAGCUCACUGCCCACACACAGCAUGCCUUUGGGUGCCAUCUCUUUGCCCAAGCCUGGAAGCCUUGGCAGGUGGGAAAUGCCGCUGCCCUGGUGGGCAUGGCACUGAGAUGCAUCCACUCAGCAGGAGUGACAGAGGCAGAAGUUCCUUUAAAGCACAUCUUCCACUUAGGAAAGGAAGGAAAUCUUUGUACUGUCUUGGAAGCCUCCACAUCCGGCUAUGGCCCUGCAAGCUGCUUUAUCCCUGCGCUAGUCUCCCCCGAGGGUUUAGGCUGGCCCAGCACAUCCUGUCCUCCUGAGCUCGCGUGCAGCCACCCAGAGCGCAGGGGUCACUGCACGCUGCAGGGCUCUUGCUGCCAUGGUCUCAAGCCUGAAGAGGCUCCGCCCACAAGCUGGCCCAUGAAGUUAGCAAUGCCUGUGGCUUCAGUCAAUUGUCUUGAGACUGUGAAGAGGCUGAAAGACACCUUCCCGGGUGGAAGAAGGAGUUCACUGAAAACUUAUCUUAAACUGACCCUUCCCUUUGAGUGAGUCUUCAUUCCUCUCCCAUGUGGGAACCCAGCCUCCGAUGCCCCGGGGACUAGGGGAAACAGUUGGAGGUUCGUGCCGUCCCCAGCCUGCCACGGGUGCGAGGACAGCCAAGUCCUGAGUGACUCAAGAUGCUUCACUUACAUGGAAGAAACUUCUAAAACUCUACCGAGUGGUUUUUGUAUAUACUAAAGUUCUAUUUAGAGCUUUUCUGUUUUGGGCAAGUUCGCUGCUCCUUCUAUUUGGGCACUUUGGUUUUUGUACUGUCUUUUGUGACGGCAUUGAUUGAACAUUUUUUACUAGUAGUCUUAUGACUUUUGUAUUUUUUUUUUUUUUUGUAAUUUAUACCAACAACACUUUUAUCACUUUUUUUUUGUUGGGCUUCUGCAAAAUACAAGCUCAUUUUUAAACCAAAUGAACAGACCAUGAGCUGGCUUCAGGGGAAGUGCUAUUCACAGGACCAUAUCCACCACCCUCUUAAAUUCCUAAACAAUAUCAUCUAGGACUUCUAUUUAAGUUAUUUAAAAUAAAUCUUCCUUGAGAGCCUUGGGAGGUGAUGUCAGGGUUAUAAAUGGCACAGUGCAUUUGCUGUAGGAAUGUGGUUUGGCAUUGUUUUAUACACACAGUAUUUUUUAUACCUUAAUGCUUAUUCUUGAUGGCAUCUGUCAGAUAUUAGAAUUGAAAAUAAGAAUCUUCCCAAAAUCCUUUAAUUUACCUGAUGCCCUCAUCAGGUCGUUAAAAAUUCAAAUGGUUUUAAUAGCUAAAAAACUACAAAUUAAGCUCUAAAACAAACAAACUACAGAAAUGUAAACCUUCAUUUGCCAAAGGUCCUUGGUGGCCUGUCCCCUGCCCUGGGAGCAGAUGGCCCUGAAGCCCUUCCCUCACUGUGCAGGCCACCGGGUGAGGCUGGACGGUCACCCAUGGUGGCUUCACUGCAAGGAGCAGGACUGCCGAGCUCAAGCACGGGGCCUUCAGCUUCCCCUGUCCUCUGGCCACACCGCCAGCCCUUGGUCCUUAUCUGUGUGAGGUUUACAAAUAAAGCUUCUGAUGUC